GUGAAAUAAUAAAACAGUUUCGAAUACAAAGUUUUUCACGAUGUACCUUUUUGUGGCGGUGAGUGAAGGGUUGUGGGACGGUGGUUCUGCGUGUGGAAGGCUCUAUAAAAUUAGGUGCCUGAGUGGAUUUAAUAUGCCCUGCAAGGGUGGUGCUACUGUGGAGGUGAAGGUGGUCGACCUUUGCCGUCAAUCUCCUUGCCCUUCUACCAUAGCCAUGUCAACCGAUGCUUUUGCAGCCAUCUCACACUCACCUUCUACACGAAUCAACAUCGAAUAUGUCCAGAUCUGAAAUCAGCUGAACCAGAUCUAUAUGCUGAUCACAUACAGCUGAGGAUAUUUCUCAAAGAACUCUCUCCGACGGCCAACGCUUCUAAUUCUUAAAACUUAGCUCUCAUCCUUCAACUGUAUUAUAUAAUAAUGGUCGAUAAUACUUUCAACUGUAUUAUCUCUUACUUCAACUGUAUUAAAUAGGAUGUUUUUUCAUAUGUUUAAUCUUUAUUGUUUCCUUGUUGGUACUGAAAUCUGUUAAAAUUGAAGUGUUUUUCUAGAAUGACUUCCCACAUACCAAACAACUUAUAUUAAUUCCUUGUUUGUGGCUGUCUUGGAAACCCACAUGUUUUCAUGGUGCGGUGGCACUCCUUUAUGCUUCGGUUUUCCUUCCACACCAUAGUUUUCAAUUGCAUUGAUAACUAGAUGUGGCUUAUACUUUUGAGUUAGUUUUUUCAUCUUUCCUUUUGGCUGUACUGUUCAUGCUCUAGGUGAGAGUGUUGUAACUUGUAAGCUUAUUUCCUUGUUAGUGAAAGUUGAUUCAUCUUCACUGAGUUCCGUUCUUUCUCUUCACUGUUGGUUGUAAAUUUGGUGUCUGCACUAACUGUGAAGCAAUACUCGGAGGUUGGAAUAUUGUCUAGACAUGUCUUAGUCUCAAAUUUAUAGCUUUUGUACAAUUAAUUUGAAAACAGCACGGAGGGUUUGUGAAUUUCGAGUCUUGAUUUGUCAUACAAUAGCUUGUUGAUUACUUAUUCUAAUACUAGUUCCUCUUAUUCUUCCUUCCCUCAACUUACGACAUUGAAAUUGUCUUCUGGAAAGUUGAGAACAUUUCCUGAUUUCUUGAGAAAUCAAUCAAAAUUAAGCACUUUGGACCUUUCAGCAAACCUGAUCCAUGGUGAAAUAACCAACUGGAUUUGGAAGUUGAGCAGUCUUUAGUCAAUCAAAUCUUUCUUGCAACUCUCUGGUAAAUCUACCAGGUCCUGUGGUGCUGGCAUAUCAAAUUGAGCUUUCUCAACUGAUUCCGAUGGCUGUAUUGGCAGCAAAGAAUCCUAACCAACUCCAACCAAUUCUCUCUGUGAAAAAAGGGGAGGCAUGUUGUAUUCCCAUCCUCCAUUGCAUUGGUGGUAAAGGUGGCAAUGGUGGCAUGUCUUCCAGAUUGACCACAGUAGCUUCAGGGGCCAGGACUGAUCUAGGAAGGGUAGAAUCUAAUGGUUCCAGCGUUUGCUUCAUAACUUCAAGUUCCUGGCCUAAUGGUAACUCUGAUGUUAAAGCUUGGCUUGGAAGAUAUUCAGGAUGAGAUUCCAGGGAAGCAUCCAGCAUACUUCCUGUUUGAUGUGCUCCGCAAAUGGUAACUGGUUGGAUUUCUCCGACUCCAUACGGUUUUGAGACCCUGUGUCCGUGAAGCAUCCUGCUGCUGGUGUUAGGCAUCUGUGGAGCAUCCUGCUGCUAUGUUAAGCCAUGUGCCUGCCAGGCAUCCUGCUGAUCUAUCAGACCAUGUAUCUAUCCUUGCUUGUUGAAGCAGAUGUCCUCUUUGAGUGUUCUUGUUUUUCGAUCCAAUCCUUUUUGUGGACGCGUUGGAUGCAACAAAACCAGUGGUACUUGGCCAAAGCUUCAAAGACAUAGCUCGCAACAAUUUUGGUGGUGAAUUACUAGGAAGAUGCUUGAGAACCUGGCAAGCAAUGAUGGCUGGUGAAGAUGAUGCCUGAGUCAAAAAUUAAUCACAUACGAUUUGAAGUUCUACGGUUCAGUCAGGUAUUCUAUCAGGAUGCUAUAACAGUUACCAAUAAAGGACUGGAAAUGGGUUGGUAAAGAUUCUAAUUGUUUUAAGCUACAUUGACAUCUCAUGCAACAAGUUUAGUGGAG
Long non-coding RNA from Malus domestica (apple), 2130 nucleotides. RefSeq lists it as uncharacterized. Lineage: Eukaryota; Viridiplantae; Streptophyta; Magnoliopsida; Rosales; Rosaceae. The record is from RefSeq and is a predicted model, not a curated record.